AGUGAACGCUGGCGGCAGGCCUAAUACAUGCAAGUCGAACGGCAGCACAGUGGAGCUUGCUCCAUGGGUGGCGAGUGGCGGACGGGUGAGGAAUACAUGGGAAUCUGCCCAGUCGUGGGGAUAACGUAUGGAAACGUACGCUAAUACCGCAUGCGCCCUUCGGGGGAAAGUCGGGGACCGCAAGGCCUGACGCGAUUGGAUGAGCCCAUGUUCGAUUAGCUAGUUGGCGGGGUAACGGCCCACCAAGGCGACGAUCGAUAGCUGGUCUGAGAGGAUGAUCAGCCACACUGGAACUGAGACACGGUCCAGACUCCUACGGGAGACAGCAGUAGGGAAUAUUGGACAAUGGGCGCAAGCCUGAUCCAGCCAUGCCGCGUGAGUGAAGAAGGCCCUCGGGUUGUAAAGCUCUUUUGUUGGGAAGAAAAGCAGUUGG
RNAcentral lists this ribosomal RNA (433 nucleotides) under uncultured bacterium. RNAcentral's name for it is "bacterial SSU rRNA". It matches the Rfam family "Bacterial small subunit ribosomal RNA", at positions 29 to 458 of the family's 1533-position model. The record is from RNAcentral.